GGAGUUAGCCGGUGCUUCUUCUGUGAGUGAUGUCCUUCCUGCCGGCUAUUAACCCGCAGGCCUUCUUCCUCACUGAAAGUGCUUUACAACCCGAAGGCCUUCUUCACACACGCGGCAUGGCUGGAUCAGGGUUGCCCCCAUUGUCCAAUAUUCCCCACUGCUGCCUCCCGUAGGAGUCUGGGCCGUGUCUCAGUCCCAGUGUGGCUGAUCAUCCUCUCAGACCAGCUACGGAUCGUCGCCUUGGUGAGCCGUUACCUCACCAACCAGCUAAUCCGACAUAGGCUCAUCCGAUAGCGCGAGGCCCGAAGGUCCCCCGCUUUCCCCCGUAGGGCGUAUGCGGUAUUAGCCUGGGUUUCCCCAGGUUAUCCCCCACUACCGGGCAGAUUCCUAUGCAUUACUCACCCGUCCGCCGCUCGCCACCAGGGAGCAAGCUCCCCGUGCUGCCGCUCGACUUGCAUGUGUUAGGCCUGCCGCCAGCGUUCAAUCUGAACCAAGAUCAAAUUCUGA
RNAcentral lists this ribosomal RNA (507 nucleotides) under uncultured bacterium. Its description in RNAcentral is "partial 16S ribosomal RNA". The record is from RNAcentral.